GAUGAACGCUGGCGGCGUGCUUAACACAUGCAAGUCGAGCGAGAAGUUUUGAAAAGAUUCUUCAGAUGAAAUUUAAAAUGGAAAGCGGCGGACGGGUGAGUAACGCGUAGGCAACCUGCCCCAUACAAAGGGAUAGCAUUUGGAAACGAAUAUUAAUACCUUAUGAAACUUAACUAGUGCAUGCUAGGUAGGUCAAAGAUUUAUCGGUAUGGGAUGGGCCUGCGUCUGAUUAGCUAGUUGGUGAGGUAACGGCUCACCAAGGCGACGAUCAGUAGCCGACCUGAGAGGGUGAACGGCCACAUUGGAACUGAGACACGGUCCAAACUCCUACGGGAGGCAGCAGUGGGGAAUAUUGCACAAUGGGGGAAACCCUGAUGCAGCAACGCCGCGUGAACGAUGAAGGCCUUUGGGUCGUAAAGUUCUGUUCUAGGUGAUGAAAACUGACAGUAACCUAGGAGAAAGCCCCGGCUAACUCCGG
Molecule: ribosomal RNA, 478 nt
Filed under: uncultured bacterium
Lineage: Bacteria
Description: partial 16S ribosomal RNA
Rfam family: Bacterial small subunit ribosomal RNA
Source: RNAcentral